UAGGGAAUCUUGCGCAAUGGGCGAAAGCCUGACGCAGCCAUGCCGCGUGAAUGAUGAAGGUCUUAGGAUUGUAAAAUUCUUUCACCGGGGAAGAUAAUGACGGUACCCGGAGAAGAAGCCCCGGCUAACUUCGUGCCAGCAGCUGCGGUAAUACGAAGGGGGCUAGCGUUGCUCGGAAUUACUGGGCGUAAAGGGCGCGUAGGCGGAUGUUUAAGUCGGGGGUGAAAGCCCGGGGCUCAACCUCGGAAUUGCCUUCGAUACUGGACAUCUUGAGUACGGGAGAGGUGAGUGGAACUCCGAGUGUAGAGGUGAAAUUCGUAGAUAUUCGGAAGAACACCAGUGGCGAAGGCGACUCACUGGCCCGUUACUGACGCUGAGGCGCGAAAGCGUGGGGAGCAAACAGGAUUAGAUACCCUGGUAGUCCACGCCGUAAACGAUGAGUGCUAGUUGUCGGCAUGCAUGCAUGUCGGUGACGCAGCUAACGCAUUAAGCACUCCGCCUGGGGAGUACGGUCGCAAGAUUAAAACUUAAAGGAAUUGACGGGGGUCAUAGCUG
RNAcentral lists this ribosomal RNA (555 nucleotides) under uncultured bacterium. Its description in RNAcentral is "partial 16S ribosomal RNA". It matches the Rfam family "Bacterial small subunit ribosomal RNA", at positions 355 to 928 of the family's 1533-position model. The record is from RNAcentral.